RNAcentral lists this non-coding RNA (215 nucleotides) under Massilia sp. NR 4-1. The record is from RNAcentral. Lineage: Bacteria; Pseudomonadati; Pseudomonadota; Betaproteobacteria; Burkholderiales; Oxalobacteraceae. RNAcentral also lists the same sequence under 1 other name.
GUAUAAUGUGGGGGUUUUGGUGCCCGCGCUUGAGUCCUUGAGCGCAGUUAAACGGGAAACACGGAACCGCCCCGGCGGCCAACGUGUGCUGCCCCCGCAACGGUAAGCAAGUGCCGCACCGCGGCAGCCGUCUUUUGCAACCACUGUGCUUCGCAUGGGAAGGUGAGACGGUCAAACCUGCCAGCCCGGAUACCGGCCAAAUCAGGUGGAGACGG